AAUUUGGACGCUUUAAAAUUGAGAAUGGAAAUGGGGAAUGUGCCAAAGAGACAACAACCCGACCAUAGAGCAGACAACAGCAGAAGGUCACCAACAGGUCUUCAAUGCAACAAGAAAUUCCCGCACCCGGAGGCGUCCUUCAGCUGGCCCCUAAACAAAUAUAUACUAGUUCAGUGAUAAUGAACGCCAUACUAAACUCCAAAUUGUACACAAG
Molecule: long non-coding RNA, 214 nt
Filed under: Mytilus galloprovincialis (Mediterranean mussel)
Lineage: Eukaryota; Metazoa; Mollusca; Bivalvia; Mytilida; Mytilidae
Source: RNAcentral